GAUAAAGCCUCUUCUCACCCACAACCUGGUAUUCAUCUUUUUUUUUGUUGCGGCCUUGAGCCGGGUCGUAACAGAAUUGGGGGCUCGUCCGGGAUACAUUCGUCUUCGCUGGAGGGUCCGGAGGACCGCUUCAGCAUUCUGUUUCAGCUGGAGGGUCCGAGGGGCCUGUCCAGCCUUCAUUCAUCUUCGCUGGAGGGUCCGAGGGGCCUGUCCAGCCAACAUUCGUCUUCGCUGGAGGGUCCGAGGGGCCUGUCCAGCAUUCGUCCGUCUUCGCUGGAGGGUCCGAGGGACCGCUUCAGCCUUCCGUUUCCGCUGGAGGGGUCCAAGGGGCCUGUCCAGCCAACAUUCGUCUUCGCUGGAGGGUCCGAGGGGCCUGUCCAGCAUUCGUCCGUCUUCGCUGGAGGGUCCGAGGGACCGCUUCAGCCUUCCGUUUCCGCUGGAGGGGUCCAAGGGGCCUGUCCAGCCAACAUUCGUCUUCGCUGGAGGGUCCGAGGGGCCUGUUCAGCCUUCGUCUGUCUUCGCUGGAGGGUCCGAGGGACCGCUUCAGCAUUCCGUCUUCGCUGGAGGGUCCGAGGGACCGCUUCAGCCUUCAGUCUCCGCUGGAGGGUCCAAAGGGCCUGUCCAGCCAUCAUUCGUCUUCGCUGGAGGGUCCGGAGGACCGCUUCAGCAUUCUGUUUCAGCUGGAGGGUCCGAGGGGCCUGUCCAGCCUUCAUUCGUCUCCGCUGGAGGGGUCCAAGGGGCCUGUCCAGCCAACAUUCGUCUUCGCUGGAGGGUCCGAGGGACCGCUUCAGCAUUCGUCCGUCUUCGCUGGAGGGUCCGAGGGACCGCUUCAGCCUUCCGUUUCCGCUGGAGGGGUCCAAGGGGCCUGUCCAGCCAACAUUCGUCUUCGCUGGAGGGUCCGAGGGGCCUGUCCAGCCUUCGUCCGUCUCCGCUGGAGGGUCCGACGGACCGCUUCAGCAUUCGAACGUCUUCGCUGGAGGGUCCGAGGGACCGCUUCAGCAUUCCGUCUUCGCUGGAGGGACCGCUUCAGCCUUCAGUCUCCGCUGGAGGGUCCACGGGGCCUGUCCAGCCAUCAUUCGUCUUCGCUGGAGGGUCCGGAGGACCGCUUCAGCAUUCUGUUUCAGCUGGAGGGUCCGAGGGGCCUGUCCAGCCUUCAUUCGUCUCCGCUGGAGGGGUCCAAGGGGCCUGUCCAGCCAACAUUCGUCUUCGCUGGAGGGUCCGAGGGGCCUGUCCAGCCUUCGUCCGUCUUCGCUGGAGGGUCCGAGGGGCCUGUCCAGCCAUCAUUCGUCUUCGCUGGAGGGUCCGGAGGACCGCUUCAGCAUUCAGUCUGCCUGCAGAAUAGCGGCCAGUGCCUUGUGCGCUGGUCCUCCAGGACUACAGCAUUCAUGGCUCUCUAGGUCAUGAAUCAAACAUUUUCAUUUGGGGUUAAAUGUUUGAUUUUUGGGUGGGGGGAAAUGUUACGAUUUAAUGUUGUCAGUGUUUUGUUUUAUGUUAUGUUUAAGGAUUUGUUCUCGUUUCCUGUUUUAUUGUGAAGGUCUGCGUCUCAUGUGAGUGUGUUCAGUUUUACCUCUGUCUCGUCUUGUUGAUUAUUCCCAGCUGUGUUCCCCACCUGUGUGCAAUCUCCCUGUGUUUCCCUGUGUGUAUUUAAGUCGCGUCCUCUGUCUUGGUAGCAGUCUUAAGCGUUUAGUUGAACAACUGAACAAUACUAAUCCCAUAUAUGAUAUUCUCCCAUCUCGCAUAGUUAAGGACUGCUUCAGUGUUAUUGGACCCAGUAUAUUGUCGCUAUUGAAUUCUUCCUUACUCUCCGGCUGCAUCCCGUCAGCCUUUAAACAUGCUAUAGUUCAACCUGUUCUUAAAAAAAGGAACCUUGAUUAUAAUGAUUAUGCGAACUACAGGCCGAUCUCCAACCUUCCGUUCCUGGCCAAAAUCCUUGAGAAGAUAGUUUUGCUGCAACUCCAGGCAUACCUGGAUGAGAAUAACAUUAAUGAUAAAUUCCAAUCGGCCUUCAAACCACAUCAUAGCACUGAGACGGCGCUGCUUCGAG
RNAcentral lists this long non-coding RNA (2044 nucleotides) under Oreochromis niloticus (Nile tilapia). Its description in RNAcentral is "lncRNA (ENSONIG00000039720.1)". Lineage: Eukaryota; Metazoa; Chordata; Actinopteri; Cichliformes; Cichlidae. The record is from RNAcentral.